Paramuricea clavata is the source of this 663-nucleotide non-coding RNA. NCBI's taxonomy places the organism in Eukaryota, Metazoa, Cnidaria, Anthozoa, Malacalcyonacea, Plexauridae. The record is from the annotation of a GenBank genome assembly.
GUAAAUCUGUAAUAUUUCAGUCAUUUCAUGAUCAAUGUAUUGUGUUUCUAACGCCGAAAUGUUGGAGCCACAGUGAUAGACUCUUUCAAGUUUCAAGGUGAAGAUGCCAUCAUGAAACACAAAGUGCAAGGGAUGCAAACACGAUGGAAUUUUCUAUAGAGUAUAGGUAAAUUUGCAAGGGGGUAUAAACACAAUGGUGAAAACAAUGUAUUGAAAUUAAGCAGUAGAAUGCAACUCAAUGGGUUAUUAAAAUUAACUAACGUGUCAGGUUCUAUGCUUGAAACUAGGGUACCUGCAAGGUAGGGAUUGCUGCGGGCAUUAAAAGCAAAUAGAACUACAGUAAGCAGCACAAAUUAUAUCAGGCACAGUAAUUACUCGCAGCGACUAUAGUGAGCUGUGAAUGGAACUGAAAAGAAUUAAGCAAUAUAUAUUGAAGCACAUUAACCGUGGAUUGAAGUAGCAAAGACCAGGGAUUAAAGGGCAAUCAGAGGUGACAGAUAUUAAACAUGUGCGUCUCAUUGACAUACAGGUAAAUUAAGAUCAAAUUUUCAAGUCUGUUUACUGCUAGGCGCAUUUACCUUAUUAUAUAUACUGUAGACUAUAUACACAGAUUUAUCACACUAAGAAACCAAAACUUUAUAAAAAUAUAGAACUGACAGUGGC